RNAcentral lists this transfer RNA (68 nucleotides) under bovine gut metagenome. It matches the Rfam family "tRNA". From Rfam's summary of the family: Transfer RNA (tRNA) molecules are approximately 80 nucleotides in length. The record is from RNAcentral.
GGCUUUAGCUCAGUGGAUAGAGUGCCCGGCUACGAACCGGUAGGUCGUGGGUUCGAAUCCCCCAAGCC